UCACUUUGGCAGCACACAGAACAAAACUGAAACAAUACACAGAAGAUUAUCAUGGUCCUUGCGCAAGGACAACGCACAAAUUCAUGAGGCAUUCCAUAUUUAA
Molecule: small nuclear RNA, 103 nt
Organism: Sciurus vulgaris (Eurasian red squirrel)
Lineage: Eukaryota; Metazoa; Chordata; Mammalia; Rodentia; Sciuridae
Source: Ensembl